GGUUACGUCGUGGGAGCAGCCGGGGUAGUACGAAGGUUGCGAGCGUUGCUCGGAAUUAGUGGGCGUAAAGGUGAGGUAGGUGGUAAUAGAAGUCUGGGGUGAAAUCCCUGAGCUCAACUCAGGACGUGUCUUGGAAACUUUAUUACUAGAGUGCUGGAGAGGGUCGCAGAAUUCCCGGUGUAGCGGUGAAAUGCGUAGAGAUCGGGAGGAAUACCAGAGGCGAAGGCGGCGAACUGGACAGCAACUGACACUCAACUACGAAAGCGUGGGUAGCAAACAGGAUUAGAUACCCUUGUAGUC
This 300-nucleotide ribosomal RNA is filed under the name uncultured Pelotomaculum sp. Its description in RNAcentral is "bacterial SSU rRNA". It matches the Rfam family "Bacterial small subunit ribosomal RNA", at positions 496 to 795 of the family's 1533-position model. The record is from RNAcentral. Lineage: Bacteria; Bacillati; Bacillota; Clostridia; Eubacteriales; Desulfotomaculaceae.